UUGAGGUUUGGUGGGGAUGAGGUUAACCAAUAUAGUAGUUGUUUUGGAACGGGACUUGGUUACAAAUAGAAGUAAAAAAAUGGAUCCAUCAAAUAACGUCAAUUCGUGCAAUAUAACAGCAUCAGGCACAAGCAAAAAACGAGCUGCUUUACUCGGAACUGUGGCUAUAAGUCAAUAUUUUUUAAAGACUAUUAUUGAUUUGGGAAUUGAUGAUAGUGAUGAAAGUGAUGCAGAAUUGAUGCAAGAAUUAAAUAACGUUGAGAAAGAUUUAAGAAUACGUGGUAAAAGGAGAAAAGUAAUACGUGUUGAAGGCUUUGUGGAACACACAAUACCAAGGUUUUCUGCAAAACAAUUUAAAGAACAUUUUCGAAUGAGACCAGCUAUCUUCGAUAUUUUGGAGAAUAGAUUGGGAAAUUUAUUAUCACGACAACAAUCAAUUGGUCGUUUGACAGUGCCUGUUCGGAAACAAUUAUUAUACUAGCCACUCUUUGGUUAUUAGCUACUCCUGAUUCUUACAGAUCUGUUGGAUCAAAAUUUGAUUUAGGAAAAUCUUCACUUUCUCAUUGUGUUAGAAGAGUAGUGACAGCUCUAAACUCAAUAUCAAACGAAAUUAUAUCUUGGCCAAAAGAUGAUCGUUUAUUAAAUACAAAAGCUCAAUUUCAGAGAAUUGCAGACUUGUAUAACGUUAUUGGAGCCAUAGACGGUACACAUAUCGAAAUUCCUACUCCAGAAGUUGAUCCUGAAACAUAUAAUACACGAAAAUGUAGAUAUGCCAUUGUUCUGCAGGCAGUAUGUGACGCAAAUCUACCAGAUAGCAAAAUGUUAGCAGUAUGCCAGCAGUAUGCCGGCAAAUUCAAUCAUGAUUGUAGAGCAGAUUCCUAUCCACUGUGUCUUCUUUAAGCUUGGUUUUUGUCAUCAUGAUUUACCAAACAUAAU
Molecule: long non-coding RNA, 936 nt
Organism: Wasmannia auropunctata (little fire ant)
Lineage: Eukaryota; Metazoa; Arthropoda; Insecta; Hymenoptera; Formicidae
Exons: 4
Source: RefSeq, a predicted model, not a curated record